UGGGGAAUAUUGCACAAUGGGGGAAACCCUGAUGCAGCGACGCCGCGUGAGCGAAGAAGGCUUUCGAGUCGUAAAGCUCUGUCCUAUGAGAAGAUAAUGACGGUAUCAUAGGAGGAAGCCCUGGCUAAAUACGUGCCAGCAGCCGCGGUAAUACGUAUGGGGCGAGCGUUGUCCGGAAUUAUUGGGCGUAAAGGGUACGUAGGCGGUUUUUUAAGUCAGGUGUCAAAGCGUGGAGCUUAACUCCAUUAAGCACUUGAAACUGAAAGACUUGAGUGAAGUAGAGGAAAGUGGAAUUCCUAGUGUAGCGGUGAAAUGCGUAGAUAUUAGGAGGAAUACCGGUGGCGAAGGCGACUUUCUGGACUUUUACUGACGCUCAGGUACGAAAGCGUGGGGAGCAAACAGG
RNAcentral lists this ribosomal RNA (403 nucleotides) under Verrucomicrobiota bacterium. RNAcentral describes it as "Verrucomicrobia bacterium partial 16S ribosomal RNA". It matches the Rfam family "Bacterial small subunit ribosomal RNA", at positions 355 to 776 of the family's 1533-position model. The record is from RNAcentral. Lineage: Bacteria; Pseudomonadati; Verrucomicrobiota.